Molecule: non-coding RNA, 1485 nt
Organism: Prunus avium (sweet cherry)
Lineage: Eukaryota; Viridiplantae; Streptophyta; Magnoliopsida; Rosales; Rosaceae
Source: RefSeq, a predicted model, not a curated record
UGCAUUUAUAGAAUUCAUCAUACAUACAUGGCUAGAAUUGAUUCUUGACUAAUGCAUUUAUGUUGGAACUGAUCAGAGGGAACUGAUCAGAGGGAAAAGACUAGUUUUUGUGGGCGAUUCAAUCAAUAGGAAUCAAUGGGAAUCCAUGCUGUGCAUGUUAAUGGGAGCUAUCAAAGAUCCAAAUAGGGUCUAUGAGACGCAUAGGCGCAGAAUCACCAAAGAGAAGGGGGAUUACAGUUUCAAAUUUGUGGAUUACAAGUGUACAGUUGAAUAUUAUGUGUCCCAUUUCUUGGUUCAUGAAGGCAAGGCAAGAGUAGGGCAGAAGCGGGUGCAAACUUUGCGAAUUGAUUCCAUUGAUCACGGCUCAUCUAUAUGGAGAGGAGCUGAUACAAAACUAAAGCUGGGCCAGUUCCAUUACUGAAUUAUUACUCUUUUUGAAGUCUGAUGAUGUGUUAAAACUAAAAAGUGACAUGCUCACAGAAUACAAGGGAUACAUCUCAUAUAAGUAGAUAUUUCUUGAAUUGGAACCCUGAUUUGGAGCUUAUAACAGGAUUAAUUACUAUCAGGAAGGAGGCUAAAAAGUGACAUGCUGAGAUUGAAUGACUGAAUAACCUAUUCAGCCCUUUCUUAUUUAACCUCAUGUGAGCCACACGUAAUUGAGGAAAGGAAAAAAAUCCAGAUUCACAUGAUGCGUGAGUCACACUGGCGUCGUCUCCUCCACUUUUCUGAUAAAUGAAUAGGCUUGACCUCAACCACCGCUGACUGCUGAUAGCAACCAUGUGCCUGCAACGAAAUCGAUGGCGAAUUUAAGCCCUAGGUUCUUGUUCAGCAACGGUGUCGUUUCACAGCCUGCCAACACACCGAUAACAAGCUUCCUCCCAACGCACCCAGUGGGUUCAAGGCGAAAAUUUAUAGGUUUGUUCAAUACUUGAACCUUUUUGGAGUUGCUAUUGGCCAUGGGUAAGUUUGAGUGUUUAAACCUGGGUAAGAACUUGGUGAUGGUGUUUGCUUAUAUGUAAUUCAGUGAUAUAAAUUAUGCUUUUGGCUAAUGGGGUUUUUCUUCUUCUUUUCUUUUGGAUGUUGAUUGUGAUUAAAUAGGGAAAUAAAGAGGUCUAACUGUUUCUACAAGAAUGGUGUGACACAACACCAUGCCAUGUAAACAGCAACCCUUAUAUGAUGGCUUUUGGCGUAGCAAAUUAUCUUCUCUAAAAUUCCAAACGUACAAAACUGGAAGUAUCAAGGGAACUAUGACUUGGAUAUGCAUUGGAAUUGUGACACAAAUCCAAAAAUAUUUGGAGGAGCUCUCAAGCACUUGGUGACAAAGCUUUUGCCUACUCUUGCUCUUUGAAUCUCAGAGUUGGUGCUUUCUUAGCUAUAGGAUAUGAAUACCGUUAUUAACAUUUCUAUAACAUUUCUUAUGUGCAAUUGCAUACAAUGUUUGUGAAAUUGCAUACAUUUUAUGCAAUUUUUGACCCAUGUAUACAA